Molecule: ribosomal RNA, 1416 nt
Filed under: Lactiplantibacillus plantarum
Lineage: Bacteria; Bacillati; Bacillota; Bacilli; Lactobacillales; Lactobacillaceae
Description: bacterial SSU rRNA
Rfam family: Bacterial small subunit ribosomal RNA
Source: RNAcentral
AACGAACUCUGGUAUUGAUUGGUGCUUGCAUCAUGAUUUACAUUUGAGUGAGUGGCGAACUGGUGAGUAACACGUGGGAAACCUGCCCAGAAGCGGGGGAUAACACCUGGAAACAGAUGCUAAUACCGCAUAACAACUUGGACCGCAUGGUCCGAGCUUGAAAGAUGGCUUCGGCUAUCACUUUUGGAUGGUCCCGCGGCGUAUUAGCUAGAUGGUGGGGUAACGGCUCACCAUGGCAAUGAUACGUAGCCGACCUGAGAGGGUAAUCGGCCACAUUGGGACUGAGACACGGCCCAAACUCCUACGGGAGGCAGCAGUAGGGAAUCUUCCACAAUGGACGAAAGUCUGAUGGAGCAACGCCGCGUGAGUGAAGAAGGGUUUCGGCUCGUAAAACUCUGUUGUUAAAGAAGAACAUAUCUGAGAGUAACUGUUCAGGUAUUGACGGUAUUUAACCAGAAAGCCACGGCUAACUACGUGCCAGCAGCCGCGGUAAUACGUAGGUGGCAAGCGUUGUCCGGAUUUAUUGGGCGUAAAGCGAGCGCAGGCGGUUUUUUAAGUCUGAUGUGAAAGCCUUCGGCUCAACCGAAGAAGUGCAUCGGAAACUGGGAAACUUGAGUGCAGAAGAGGACAGUGGAACUCCAUGUGUAGCGGUGAAAUGCGUAGAUAUAUGGAAGAACACCAGUGGCGAAGGCGGCUGUCUGGUCUGUAACUGACGCUGAGGCUCGAAAGUAUGGGUAGCAAACAGGAUUAGAUACCCUGGUAGUCCAUACCGUAAACGAUGAAUGCUAAGUGUUGGAGGGUUUCCGCCCUUCAGUGCUGCAGCUAACGCAUUAAGCAUUCCGCCUGGGGAGUACGGCCGCAAGGCUGAAACUCAAAGGAAUUGACGGGGGCCCGCACAAGCGGUGGAGCAUGUGGUUUAAUUCGAAGCUACGCGAAGAACCUUACCAGGUCUUGACAUACUAUGCAAAUCUAAGAGAUUAGACGUUCCCUUCGGGGACAUGGAUACAGGUGGUGCAUGGUUGUCGUCAGCUCGUGUCGUGAGAUGUUGGGUUAAGUCCCGCAACGAGCGCAACCCUUAUUAUCAGUUGCCAGCAUUAAGUUGGGCACUCUGGUGAGACUGCCGGUGACAAACCGGAGGAAGGUGGGGAUGACGUCAAAUCAUCAUGCCCCUUAUGACCUGGGCUACACACGUGCUACAAUGGAUGGUACAACGAGUUGCGAACUCGCGAGAGUAAGCUAAUCUCUUAAAGCCAUUCUCAGUUCGGAUUGUAGGCUGCAACUCGCCUACAUGAAGUCGGAAUCGCUAGUAAUCGCGGAUCAGCAUGCCGCGGUGAAUACGUUCCCGGGCCUUGUACACACCGCCCGUCACACCAUGAGAGUUUGUAACACCCAAAGUCGGUGGGGUAACCUUUUAGG